GCAGGCCUAACACAUGCAAGUCGAGCGGUAGCACAGAGAGCUUGCUCUCGGGUGACGAGCGGCGGACGGGUGAGUAAUGUCUGGGAAACUGCCUGAUGGAGGGGGAUAACUACUGGAAACGGUAGCUAAUACCGCAUAACGUCGCAAGACCAAAGUGGGGGACCUUCGGGCCUCAUGCCAUCAGAUGUGCCCAGAUGGGAUUAGCUAGUAGGUGGGGUAACGGCUCACCUAGGCGACGAUCCCUAGCUGGUCUGAGAGGAUGACCAGCCACACUGGAACUGAGACACGGUCCAGACUCCUACGGGAGGCAGCAGUGGGGAAUAUUGCACAAUGGGCGCAAGCCUGAUGCAGCCAUGCCGCGUGUGUGAAGAAGGCCUUCGGGUUGUAAAGCACUUUCAGCGGGGAGGAAGGCGGUGAGGUUAAUAACCUCAUCGAUUGACGUUACCCGCAGAAGAAGCACCGGCUAACUCCGUGCCAGCAGCCGCGGUAAUACGGAGGGUGCAAGCGUUAAUCGGAAUUACUGGGCGUAAAGCGCACGCAGGCGGUCUGUCAAGUCGGAUGUGAAAUCCCCGGGCUCAACCUGGGAACUGCAUUCGAAACUGGCAGGCUAGAGUCUUGUAGAGGGGGGUAGAAUUCCAGGUGUAGCGGUGAAAUGCGUAGAGAUCUGGAGGAAUACCGGUGGCGAAGGCGGCCCCCUGGACAAAGACUGACGCUCAGGUGCGAAAGCGUGGGGAGCAAACAGGAUUAGAUACCCUGGUAGUCCACGCCGUAAACGAUGUCGAUUUGGAGGUUGUGCCCUUGAGGCGUGGCUUCCGGAGCUAACGCGUUAAAUCGACCGCCUGGGGAGUACGGCCGCAAGGUUAAAACUCAAAUGAAUUGACGGGGGCCCGCACAAGCGGUGGAGCAUGUGGUUUAAUUCGAUGCAACGCGAAGAACCUUACCUGGUCUUGACAUCCACAGAACUUUCCAGAGAUGGAUUGGUGCCUUCGGGAACUGUGAGACAGGUGCUGCAUGGCUGUCGUCAGCUCGUGUUGUGAAAUGUUGGGUUAAGUCCCGCAACGAGCGCAACCCUUAUCCUUUGUUGCCAGCGGUUCGGCCGGGAACUCAAAGGAGACUGCCAGUGAUAAACUGGAGGAAGGUGGGGAUGACGUCAAGUCAUCAUGGCCCUUACGACCAGGGCUACACACGUGCUACAAUGGCAUAUACAAAGAGAAGCGACCUCGCGAGAGCAAGCGGACCUCAUAAAGUAUGUCGUAGUCCGGAUUGGAGUCUGCAACUCGACUCCAUGAAGUCGGAAUCGCUAGUAAUCGUAGAUCAGAAUGCUACGGUGAAUACGUUCCCGGGCCUUGUACAC
This 1354-nucleotide ribosomal RNA is filed under the name uncultured bacterium. RNAcentral describes it as "bacterial SSU rRNA". It matches the Rfam family "Bacterial small subunit ribosomal RNA", at positions 42 to 1388 of the family's 1533-position model. The record is from RNAcentral.